RNAcentral lists this ribosomal RNA (538 nucleotides) under uncultured bacterium. RNAcentral's name for it is "bacterial SSU rRNA". It matches the Rfam family "Bacterial small subunit ribosomal RNA", at positions 38 to 566 of the family's 1533-position model. The record is from RNAcentral.
GGCGGCUGCUUUACACAUGCAAGUCGAACGGCAGCAUGACCUAGCUUGCUAGGUUGAUGGCGAGUGGCGAACGGGUGAGUAAUGCACCGGAACGUACCCAGUAAUGGGGGAUAACGCACCGAAAGGUGUGCUAAUACCGCAUACGCCCUGAGGGGGAAAGCGGGGGAUCGUAAGACCUCGCGUUAUUGGAGCGGCCGAUGCCGGAUUAGCUAGUUGGUGGGGUAAAGGCCUACCAAGGCGACGAUCCGUAGCUGGUCUGAGAGGACGACCAGCCACACUGGGACUGAGACACGGCCCAGACUCCUACGGGAGGCAGCAGUGGGGAAUUUUGGACAAUGGGCGCAAGCCUGAUCCAGCCAUGCCGCGUGAGUGAAGAAGGCCUUCGGGUUGUAAAGCUCUUUCGCAAGGGAAGAAAACUUAGCUACUAAUACUAGCUGAGGAUGACGGUACCUUGAUAAGAAGCACCGGCUAACUACGUGCCAGCAGCCGCGGUAAUACGUANGGUGCGAGCGUUAAUCGGAAUUACUGGGCGUAAAGC